CUGGAAAUCUGGGCAUAAGUCAAAAUGCAAGGAUUUUGUCAGGGUAAAUUCAACACAAAAUUCAAAAUCCAGCUUUGGAUUAAAAGCGUCAGGUAUUGAGGGUGGAGCUUUUUCUGGCAUUGCGCUGGUUCCUGCCAAUGGGACCACUAAGCUUAUAAAGAAGCCAAGAAAGGUUCUUUUCUCCUAUGAUGACUUCAUUAAACUUUACUACUGGGACAAGGCAGCAUUCCC
Molecule: unclassified non-coding RNA, 231 nt
Filed under: Hevea brasiliensis (rubber tree)
Lineage: Eukaryota; Viridiplantae; Streptophyta; Magnoliopsida; Malpighiales; Euphorbiaceae
Source: RNAcentral